RNAcentral lists this long non-coding RNA (831 nucleotides) under Homo sapiens (human). RNAcentral's name for it is "HSALNT0085713". Lineage: Eukaryota; Metazoa; Chordata; Mammalia; Primates; Hominidae. The record is from RNAcentral.
UAGUUGAGACCACUGACCCUUCAACUGGGUCUGCAUGGGUGCCUGAGAGGUGGCCUUUUGAUAUCAGAGGGUCAAAAACUCCACCCUCAAGAUCAUGCUAAUGUUGCCAUUUUCUGUACAUAUGUCCUGUGAACUGUUCGUCCACCUCAUCUCUUGGUGACCUAGUGUGUAAAUCUUUUCUCUUUUGCAGAAUCUAUGUCACAGUGAUUGAUUUACUGCAUAUGAGCAGAAUGAACCUGGACCUGGCCAGUAUCAUUAAGCUGUGUUUCCCCUGAAGUUAUGUGAAAAGCAUUUGUGGAUUUAACAGAGUUAAGGGUCUCACUUCAUCACCUAGACUGGAGUACAGUAGCACAGUUGCAGCUUCCUACAUCUUGACUUCCUGGGUUCCAGUGAUCCUCCCCCUUCAGCCUCUCAAUGAUAUUUCUCAAUAGAUACCAGGUUAACAGCUCUAGUACUGCUAUACAUGUGUACUGAAAUUGAACAGUUAAAUAAAUGGAGGACAUCCACGUUUAUCACUGAUGGAGUGGGAGUUUACAGAUAAGCAGGAGGAGGAGGCCAGAAAGAUGCAUGUGGUGAUGGAUUAGAAUUGGAGACAUCCUGCCCUCAAGGAGAGAGAACAUAAAAGAACAUAAAUCCGCUUUUCAUCAAUGUGAGCUGCACCAACUUACCUCCUCCCAAAGAGCACAAAAUAGAAAGGAACGAAAAGAAAAGAGCAACUUUACAGUGAAGAAACCUACAAACACUACCUCAGCCAGCAGAGAGAGAAAGAAAGCAGAGCUCUUUGAAGCAGAGAAAGAAAGCAGAAAGCAGAGAUCUUUGAAGGCUUAAGAA